AGGCAGCAGUGGGGAAUAUUGGACAAUGGGCGAAAGCCUGAUCCAGCAAUGCCGCGUGAGUGAUGAAGGCCUUAGGGUUGUAAUGCUCUUUUACCCGGGAUGAUAAUGACAGUACCGGGAGAAUAAGCUCCGGCUAACUCCGUGCCAGCAGCC
Molecule: ribosomal RNA, 153 nt
Filed under: uncultured bacterium
Lineage: Bacteria
Description: partial 16S ribosomal RNA
Rfam family: Bacterial small subunit ribosomal RNA
Source: RNAcentral